AUAUUAAUAUCGCUGAAUCAUUUUGAGCGGGAGAACCAACUAUUGGGGUUAAUCUUAUCAUUUCUGAUAAGUAGGGUUAAUUAUCUUCAAUCCGAAUCCGUCAGCUAAUCUCGCAAGCGUUGAAGAGAAGUGUU
This 134-nucleotide small RNA is filed under the name Clostridium sp. Its description in RNAcentral is "c-di-AMP sequence". It matches the Rfam family "c-di-AMP riboswitch aptamer (ydaO/yuaA leader)". From Rfam's summary of the family: This family represents a conserved RNA structure found upstream of the ydaO and yuaA genes in Bacillus subtilis and related genes in other bacteria. The ydaO/yuaA element is thought to act as a genetic "off" switch for the ydaO and yuaA genes in its native state. RNAcentral also lists the same sequence under 1 other name. Lineage: Bacteria; Bacillati; Bacillota; Clostridia; Eubacteriales; Clostridiaceae. The record is from RNAcentral.